Gopherus evgoodei (Goodes thornscrub tortoise) is the source of this 1918-nucleotide long non-coding RNA. RefSeq lists it as uncharacterized. The transcript is spliced from 4 exons. Lineage: Eukaryota; Metazoa; Chordata; Testudines; Testudinidae. The record is from RefSeq and is a predicted model, not a curated record.
CUCUGCGUUGUGGCCGCAGCAACCUCGGUUCGAAUCCGAGUCACGGCAUCGCUUCAAUGGCGGUAGCACGGCAUGGGGGCCCUGUGAGCUUUUUACUGGGAGGCUGGAGUCCAAGCAGCCGCCGCUUCAUAUGGGCAGCAGCCUGGCACAGCCAGCCUGUUUCAGCGUUUGGAGGAUACAGGGCACGGCCAGCCUGUUACAAGCUCCGUGCCUGGUGACUUCCCGACACUGGAAGAGGUGGCAAUGUCAUCUACAUUCUUCCUCUCUCUGGCCUGGUCUGCUCAGGACUUCUCUCAGGAUCAGGAUGGUGAAGUUCCAGGGUCCCAGGAGAUGGCAGGCCUGGCAGUCAUGAUGGCAAUGAUCAGUGCGUCAGGGAAGUGUCCAGUGCGGAGAGAGCAGCCCAGAGUGGGGACACCCAAGCCCCUGCCCUAAGUGACCAUGACAAGGUGUGUGUGACCAUCUCAGUGCCAGCAUCAUUCCAGGCUGAAUUCCUAGCACAACACCUCCAAGCUCCCCUAACAAGGCAUGCACCUGCACCGUGCAGACAUCACACCCGCAGGAAGCCAUAUCCUGUAUCCCAUCCCCUGAGCUGACGCUGUUCUCUGAGAGCCCUAAGAUGUGGCUCAGAUUGUUCCUUCCAAUGGGCUUUGCUCUGCACCUAUCAGCACUGUCAUUCACCUCCCACCGUGCUGCUCAUUCACCUUGCUUGGGCUGGCCCUCUGAAGUUCCUCAGUCUUCCCCAGUCAUGGGCACAGCAGGGCUAGGCAGCACCAUCAGGAGCAGGGAUGAGGGCUUCUCCACUGCACCUGUCUGAGCACUGCCCUGUGCCCAGGAUAAAGGGGUUAGCCUAGGUAGAGCUGUCAUUUCCUCCAAACGGAUUUGUGCUGGAUUUUGGGGUACCAGAUCCUCUCUGAUACCAUUUUAACAAUUCGUUUGGGGCACUAGGACUAGCAUUGGCUUCCCAGUAAUUGGUGACAUUGGCUAAUGACCUGUGAUUUCAAAGGUGCCGCUGCCCAGUGUCAAACUCACUGCCGGGAUUUACCACAAUAGUCAUCUCAGCAAGCAGAAGCUCCGACCUCAAGGGCACUGAAUAUGUUGGCAGCAGCUUAGCCAAUGGAAACUGGAAGCCAGGGCAGAGGGGGUGGGCCAGCUGGUUAAUGGGAGAUCCAGCCUGCUGCUUCCCCAGGCCUGGCAAUAGCCGAACUGUGUAGGGGACGGGACCAGUAUCCCAGCGUUGCCAUGACAGUGGAAGCCAGCAUGUGACACCAGGAGGCACUGGCCAUACCUGCGGGGUAUGACCAAUGGCUGCAGACACUCUCUUUGCCUGCUGGGCUGCUCCAUGUCUGUGUCAUUUCCCUGAUUCCAUCUGUCCAUCAUACCCCAGGGCAGGAGGCCUAGCAGAGUGAUAACAGAUGGCCAGUGGAUGCCUAUCAGAUACCCUGUGGCCUGGGGGAGCUGGGAGCUCCUGGGGCUGGGUAUUGAGCAAACUGAUCCUGAGCCUGUUUGCUGUUGAGUGUGUUCACAGCCAGGCUCCCGCUCCCUUGGCAGCAGGCAGGGGCUCCCAUGGGGAUGCUCUCUGCACCCACUGCACCCUGAUCUGCCAGCUGUGCUGAGGAACCACCUUGCUGCCCUAUUUCCUGCGGCAGCUGAGACUGGAACCACCUCCUGUGCUAUAUGCCGGUCCUUAUCUCCAGGGGCCAAGUGUUUCCCCACCCCUGACCAGCACAUGGGGGUGUUCCUCCGCAUGCAGAUCUCCCCCUGUGCAAAGUGGGGCUUGGCUGUCUCAUAGCACUGACCCACAACACACAUGCAGGAGAGGAGCAGACUGGCUUGUGACAUUACUGACAUGAACUGGGACCGUAUAGAUCAUUGUUGCAACCAAGGUCCUGUAGUGGCAUCAAAUCUUGUAUAAAGGGGG